This 1525-nucleotide unclassified non-coding RNA is filed under the name Hevea brasiliensis (rubber tree). The record is from RNAcentral. Lineage: Eukaryota; Viridiplantae; Streptophyta; Magnoliopsida; Malpighiales; Euphorbiaceae.
AAAAUUUAGAUGCAGAGACAUUUUAUUAACAAAAUUAAAUUUAAUAAUCGUAAUUAUUUGACAGAAAUUAAUAGUAAUUUUGAACAAAGAGACCAUUAUAUUAACGACACAACUAAAACAAACACAACCGCCUAAUUCAUUAUCUAUGAAAAUUCAAAGGUUGAAGAUCAGAAAAAGGCAAGCAUUUUAGAGACAGAACCAUAAUAAAAUAGCUGAACUACUCGUAGACCCAUUCAAAACUCAAACAAAACAUCCUUUGGCCAAGUUGUAAACCAACUCCAAUCUCUUCGCCUUCAAAAAUCUGCAGCAAGGAAGUUUCCAGACAGUGAUACCUUCUCGCCAAGUUUGAAUGGCUGGAGACCUUUGUAAGGGCAUGUGCUGCAGCGAAAAGCAUCCCCUAGACCACAAUUGCCACAUGCUGAUUGAGGAUUGCUCAGCUGAUCCAUUGUCAGUCCCAACUUUACUUUCUCCUCUGUCUCAGCUCUCCCACAUGUGCAGUUUUUGCACGCUUUCCUUGUACUUCCUACUUCGCAGUCACCAACAGGUGGUAAUUGAGGUUUUUUCAAAUCCUCUUCAGUCAAGAGGCUAUCUUCAUCAAUCAAAUCAUCAUCAAUCUGAACCUUAACUGAACUUGUUAUGGGCUUCUUAAUGGUAAAGGAUGACCCAAUCUUCCAAGAAGGCUUCUUGGCCUUAACCCCAAAAGACUGAAUGACUCCAGAUAGUCCAGCUUUCAAUUGGAGACCCUGUGCUUCUAAGAACCCCGCUAACAGCAACUUGCGCUCAAGAGUAAGUAUUGCCUUGUCUGUUUCCUCUGCAACAAAUUGAAGACUCUUGUAAAUCAGGACAGUCCCACCAGGCUUCAACACUCUUGAAAUUUCGCCUAACAACAGGUCACUGGGAAAUUGGAGUGACCUACUUAUGGAAAUGACUAUAUCCACAGAUGAAGAAUCCACUGGCAGCUUACUUAGAGAUGAUGCUUGAGUGAUAACUUGAGGAUCACACUGCUCGGCUCUUUCAUUAGCAAGUUCCCUAACUGCAUUUAUCACCAUACUUACAGGAAGAACGGUAUCAUCUGUAAAAGCUAGCACAGUAUUCUGUGUCUUUGUAGUAUCCAUCUUAAUAAUUCUUCAAAAACCUCGGAGAUCGAGCAAAAACACUCAAGAAAGAGAAGCUCCUUGGCUUUCCCUUCGUAGACGCGGAGGAAAAUUCUAGAACACGGAAAUCCCAAUCGGAGAUACGAAACGAUGAGAAAUAGAAUCGAGGAAAAUGAGAGAGAAUUUGACGGGUUUUAGUUGAGAUGGUUUUUAGCGUUGCCGAUUCGAAUUUUACGUAUGAUAAAUAAUCAAAAUGCAAAUGAAUAUUUUGUUCUUGUUAUGGAGGACUAUGACCUCGUAAAGGCGGUGAACGUUACACCUAUUCGAUGAUCGCUUAGUUGAUGAUGUUGACUUGAUUGGGCGGCCGCGUUUGGAGACAGUUUGGGCGGAGAAGAGAAACAGGAGAGACUGAGAUUCGAUGGCAAUCGUAG